CAGCCCCCCAGUCACUCCUCCACCUGGUCCUCACUAGUAGUUCCCCUUAACACCAUAAGCCGCAGCUCCUGGGCCGGUAGCCUGCACCUGACCCCCCAAACUCCUUGGGGCUGAAUUGGGCUCUGGUACAGGGAAACUUUGCCUGCCUCCCAUGAGGUGGGCUGAGAGUCCUUCUUCCCACAGUGGGUGCGGUUGGAGGACCAACAUGGGCAGCCCUACUUCUACAACCCAGAAGACACCUCAGUUCAGUGGGAGCUGCCCCAGGUUCCUGUCCUUGCCCCUCGAAGCAUCUGCAAAUCCAACCAGGACAGUGAGACCCCAGCCCAGGCCUGCCCCCCUGAGGAGAAGAUCAAGACUCUGGACAAGGCCGGUGUGCUUCAUGGCACCAAGACAGUGGACAAGGGGAAGCGGCUCCGGAAGAAGCACUGGAGUGCCUCCUGGACGGUGCUGGAGGGUGGCGUCCUGACAUUCUUCAAGGACUCGAAGGCCUCAGCUGCAGGCGCCCUG
Molecule: long non-coding RNA, 507 nt
Organism: Nyctereutes procyonoides (raccoon dog)
Lineage: Eukaryota; Metazoa; Chordata; Mammalia; Carnivora; Canidae
Exons: 4
Source: RefSeq, a predicted model, not a curated record